Molecule: ribosomal RNA, 375 nt
Filed under: uncultured soil bacterium
Lineage: Bacteria
Description: bacterial SSU rRNA
Rfam family: Bacterial small subunit ribosomal RNA
Source: RNAcentral
AGGAUGAACGCUAGCGGGAGGCCUAAUACAUGCAAGUCGAACGGCAACAUGAUGAUAGCAAUAUUAUCGAUGGCGAGUGGCGCACGGGUGAGUAACACGUACAUAACCUACCCUUUACAGGGGGAUAGCCUUGGGAAACUAGGAGUAAACCCCCAUAGAGUACAUUGGACGCAUGUUUGAUGUAAUAAAUUCUUCGGGAGUAAAGGAUGGAUGUGCGGCUGAUUAGCUAGUUGGUGAGGUAACGGCUCACCAAGGCAAUGAUCGAGGUAGGGGGUGUGAGAGCAGUGACUCCCCCCAGACGGGUACUGACGACGACGGACCCGAUCCGUACGGGAGACAGCAAGUAAGGAAUAGUUGGACAAGUGGGCGGAGACG